CCUGGCUGCAGAUCGCCGUUCCGGUUUAAAUCCCUCUGCUGGGGGGGGGGCAGGUGGGAGGUUUAUACUGCUGGCCCUGGGGGCCUGGCCCGCGGUGCCGUGGAAGGGAGCGGUCGUCCAGGCCCUGCUGCGUUAAACCUCCCUAAAGGAUUUAUCCUGGCUGGCCGGCCCCGUGGCCUUGCCAUGACGAAGCCCGGUCUGUGGCUAUUUCUAACCUGCAAACACGGAAGUUUUUCUCUCCAGAAGAGACCACAGCUUGCGGCUAGUGAACCGUUCUCCCUCUGUGCUCUCCUGCACAUUUCUGAAAACGGGCAGACAAACUGAACUAACGGAAACUUACAGAGCUAUUCAGUGCAAGAUACGAUUCCUCAUCUCUUUCCACAGCAGAAUCAGUGCAGUUUUUACUGGUUAGAUGAUGAGACUUCUGCAAAGGGCGUGCUUCAUUUGUUCCUAAGAACACAGGUACCUCUUCAGUGGAUAGUGCAGCACUCAAAACGUGCUUUUACUUUUCCUUAGUUAUUGGUGGUGUUCUCCUCAAAAUAUUUUCUGCUCAAGUAGAUCUCUCCUGCUGAUAAUUUAAUUACUCUGGGUUAUUCUAGGUAUCAUAUGGAUGACAUGGAUGAGGCAGAGGAAACAGAAUGGGGUUGUCAUGAUUACUUAUUUUUCGUGCUUCCAUUUAAAAUAUAUCGAAAGGUAAAAAUUUGCUUUGCAGAACGUCAAUUAAUGCUCAUACUUCAGCAUCUUAC
Molecule: long non-coding RNA, 746 nt
Filed under: Struthio camelus australis
Lineage: Eukaryota; Metazoa; Chordata; Aves; Struthioniformes; Struthionidae
Description: lncRNA (ENSSCUG00000012134.1)
Source: RNAcentral